This 497-nucleotide ribosomal RNA is filed under the name uncultured bacterium. Its description in RNAcentral is "partial 16S ribosomal RNA". It matches the Rfam family "Bacterial small subunit ribosomal RNA", at positions 28 to 507 of the family's 1533-position model. The record is from RNAcentral.
GAUGAACGCUGGCGGCGUGCCUAAUACAUGCAAGUCGAGCGAACAGACGAGGAGCUUGCUCCUCUGACGUUAGCGGCGGACGGGUGAGUAACACGUGGAUAACCUACCUAUAAGACUGGGAUAACUUCGGGAAACCGGAGCUAAUACCGGAUAAUAUAUUGAACCGCAUGGUUCAAUAGUGAAAGACGGUUUUGCUGUCACUUAUAGAUGGAUCCGCGCCGCAUUAGCUAGUUGGUAAGGUAACGGCUUACCAAGGCAACGAUGCGUAGCCGACCUGAGAGGGUGAUCGGCCACACUGGAACGGAGACACGGUCCAGACUCCUACGGGAGGCAGCAGUAGGGAAUCUUCCGCAAUGGGCGAAAGCCUGACGGAGCAACGCCGCGUGAGUGAUGAAGGUCUUCGGAUCGUAAAACUCUGUUAUGAGGGAAGAACAAAUGUGUAAGUAACUAUGCACGUCUUGACGGUACCGAAUCAGAAAGCCACGGCUAACUACGUG